ACCAACCGAUUGUUUUCACGGGCUCACAAUCCAACCCAGUUGGUUUUCCCAAAGGCUCACCAACCACAACCUUACAACGAUUGUUUUUCGGGUUCACAAUCAACACAGUUGGUUUUCCCAAGGGCUCACCAACCACAACCUUACAAAGUUGGUUUUUCCUUUGGCUCACCAACAAACCUUAACCCCUUGAUUCAAUCCCUUGAUUGAAUCAAGUUACAAGAUAUUAGAGCAAGAGUUUAAAUCAAAUACAAGCUUCUCAAAUAAGCAAAUAUAGCAAAUAUAAAUAAGUAAAGUAAAGAGAUGAAGCCCUCUAACAAAUUUGUAGAUGGAGGAACUCGGCUUCUUCUUUACUUGACCCUUUUCUGAUUUUGCACGAAGUAGAGGAUCACCGAGGCAGCACACGGAUGAAGAGGAAGCUUUGGGAUUCACUUGGAUGCUCUUCUUCUCUCUAUUUUACUUUGAAUGGCCCUUUUGUGCUUAUGGAAGAUUUUCCUUGUAAACUCUUUGAAAUCUCUUCCCUAAA
This 523-nucleotide long non-coding RNA is filed under the name Phoenix dactylifera (date palm). RNAcentral describes it as "long non-coding RNA (PDAC_LNC012228)". Lineage: Eukaryota; Viridiplantae; Streptophyta; Magnoliopsida; Arecales; Arecaceae. The record is from RNAcentral.